Molecule: ribosomal RNA, 488 nt
Filed under: uncultured Alphaproteobacteria bacterium
Lineage: Bacteria; Pseudomonadati; Pseudomonadota; Alphaproteobacteria
Description: bacterial SSU rRNA
Rfam family: Bacterial small subunit ribosomal RNA
Source: RNAcentral
GAGUUUGAUCCUGGCUCAGAACGAACGCUGGCGGCAUGCCUAACGCAUGCAAGUCGAACGCCAUGGUUUCGGCCAUGGAGUGGCGCACGGGUGAGUAAUGCGUGGGAACCUGCCUAGCAGUAUGGGACAACCGCGGGAAACUGCGGCUAAUACCGUAUACGCCCGUCUUUGGGAGACCAGGGGCGGGAAAGAUUGAUCGCUGUUAGAGGGGCCCGCGUCGGAUUAGGUAGUUGGUGGGGUAAAGGCCUACCAAGCCUGCGAUCCGUAGCUGGUCUGAGAGGAUGACCAGCCACACUGGGACUGAGACACGGCCCAGACUCCUACGGGAGGCAGCAGUGGGGAAUAUUGGACAAUGGGCGCAAGCCUGAUCCAGCAAUGCCGCGUGAGUGAUGAAGGCCUUAGGGUUGUAAAGCUCUUUCACACGCGACGAUGAUGACGGUAGCGUGAGAAGAAGCCCCGGCUAACUCCGUGACAGCAGCCGCCGUAAU